GACGAACGCUGGCGGCGUGCUUAACACAUGCAAGUCGAACGGAAAGGCCCUUCUUUUGAGUGGUGCUCGAGUGGCGAACGGGUGAUUAACACGUGAGUAACCUGCCCUUGACUUUGGGAUAACUUCAGGAAACUUGGUCUAAUACCUGAUAGGAGCUCCUGCUGCAUGGUGGGGGUUGGAAAGUUUCGGCGGUUGGGGAUGGACUCGCGGCUUAUCAGCUUGUUGGUGGGGUAGUGGCUUACCAAGGCUUUGACGGGUAGCCGGCCUGAGAGGGUGACCGGGCACAUUGGGACUGAGAGACGGCCCAGACGCGUACGGGAGGCAGCAGGGGGGAGUAUGGCACAAUGGGCGGAAGCCUGAGGCAGAAACGCCGCGUGCGGGAUGACGGCCUUCGGGUUGUAAACCGCUUUCGCCUGUGACGAAGCGUGAGUGACGGUAAUGGGUAAAGAAGCACCGGCUAACUACGUG
RNAcentral lists this ribosomal RNA (468 nucleotides) under uncultured bacterium. Its description in RNAcentral is "partial 16S ribosomal RNA". It matches the Rfam family "Bacterial small subunit ribosomal RNA", at positions 28 to 507 of the family's 1533-position model. The record is from RNAcentral.